RNAcentral lists this ribosomal RNA (433 nucleotides) under uncultured bacterium. RNAcentral describes it as "partial 16S ribosomal RNA". It matches the Rfam family "Bacterial small subunit ribosomal RNA", at positions 29 to 507 of the family's 1533-position model. The record is from RNAcentral.
AACGAACGCUGGCGGCAUGCCUAACACAUGCAAGUCGAACGAGACCUUCGGGUCUAGUGGCGCACGGGUGCGUACCGCGUGGGAACUUGCCCUUAGGUUCGGAAUAACUCACCGAAAGGGGUGCUAAUAACGGAUAAUGUCUUAGGACAAAAGAUUUCUCGCCUUUGGAUGGGCCCGCGUUGGAUUAGCUAGUUGGUAGGGUAAAAGCCUACCAAGGCGACGAUCCAUAGCUGGUCUGAGAGGAUGAUCAGCCACACUGGGACUGAGACACGGCCCAGACUCCUACGGGAGGCAGCAGUGGGGAAUAUUGGACAAUGGACGAAAGCCUGAUCCAGCAAUGCCGCGUAAGUGAUGAAGGCCUUAGGGUUGUAAAGCUCUUUUACCCGGGAUGAUAAUGACAGUACCGGGAGAAUAAGCACCGGCUAACUCCGUG